This is an unclassified non-coding RNA of Anser brachyrhynchus (Pink-footed goose), 77 nucleotides long. Lineage: Eukaryota; Metazoa; Chordata; Aves; Anseriformes; Anatidae. The record is from Ensembl.
AAUGGCUGUUACUUGCAGCUGAUGAGCUCCAAAUAGAGCAAAACCAUUUAGGUCCUGUAGUACUGGCCCAUAAGCUU